This 503-nucleotide ribosomal RNA is filed under the name Chironomidae sp. 1 SK-2011. Its description in RNAcentral is "eukaryotic LSU rRNA". The stretch from base 1 to 145 matches the Rfam family "5.8S ribosomal RNA", at positions 48 to 154 of the family's 154-position model. The record is from RNAcentral. Lineage: Eukaryota; Metazoa; Arthropoda; Insecta; Diptera; Chironomidae.
GCAAACUGCGCGUCGCCAUGUGAACUGCAGGACACAUGAUCAUUGACAUGUUGAACGCAUAUUGCGCCUUAUACAUUUGGUUCUCUUUAUAUAAUGUACACUUUUAUAAUGUGGGACUGUAUAAGGUACAUAUGGUUGAGUGUCGUAAUUUCAUAUGAUUACAACUAUCAGUAAUGUAUAUUACAUAAUAUAGUGUCAUGAAAGCCGUCAAUUGUGACGAUUUAUGACUAAAAUGCUAAUCUAAUGUCAGUUUACGCCUAUUUUUAAAUAAAUGGGAGGAAGAGUGAAAACUUCAAAAUUCGCGCAUUGUGCACGAGUCUUGUGAGAUUCUUUUUUGGCGCUAACUUUACAUAUAAUUUUGUGUCUCGUUAGUUGCACCUGACUCGCUUUGCUACUCCGUACGAUUUUGAGAAACAGUAGUUCUUCCUAAUGUAUAGCAGUGAAACAUAUAUAAUAAUAAUAAAUAAUAAAAAAACACAAUUCGCGACCUCAACUCAUGUGUG